This 400-nucleotide ribosomal RNA is filed under the name uncultured bacterium. RNAcentral's name for it is "bacterial SSU rRNA". It matches the Rfam family "Bacterial small subunit ribosomal RNA", at positions 355 to 771 of the family's 1533-position model. The record is from RNAcentral.
UGGAGAAUUUUCCGCAAUGGGCGAAAGCCUGACGGAGCAAUACCGCGUGAGGGAAGAAGGCUUUUGGGUCGUAAACCUCUUUUGUUAGGGAAGAACACUGACGGUACCUAACGAAUAAGCCUCGGCUAACUCCGUGCCAGCAGCCGCGGUAAGACGGAGGAGGCAAGCGUUAUCCGGAAUUAUUGGGCGUAAAGCGUCCGCAGGUGGCUAUUCAAGUCUGCUGUCAAAGCGCAGGGCUUAACUCUGUAGAGGCAGUGGAAACUGGAUAGCUAGAGUUCGGUAGGGGUAGAGGGAAUUCCAGGUGUAGCGGUGAAAUGCGUAGAUAUCUGGAAGAACACCAGUGGCGAAAGCGCUCUACUGGGCCUGAACUGACACUGAGGGACGAAAGCUAGGGGAGCGA